ACAGAACCGUGAACUCCUUGUCGUCACCAGCAGAUCCCUUGACCGGGUUUCUGCUGGGCGUCGUAUCGCCUAACAGCCAUGCGGCGGGUCUCACGGCCGGCCUUACGGCUGACCGCGGGGCCGACUGCUUUAACCCAACAAACACCAAAGCAAUCAAUCUGAAACAGUUUGCCGUCGACUUGAUCGGCGUGCAACCAAACAAAUGACAACUCUCAACAACGGAUAUCUUGGCUCCCGCAUCGAUGAAGAACGCAGCGAAAUGCGAUACGUAGUGUGAAUUGCAGAAUUCCGUGAAUCAUCGAAUCUUUGAACGCAUAUUGCGCUCGAGACCUCGGUCAAGAGCAUGUCUGGCUCAGCGUCGGCUCACCCCCUCGCCACCCUCUCCCCUGUGGAGAUGGGCAGGCGGAUCUGGCCGUGUCUGUACUCCUUGAGAGAACAGGCUCGGCUGAAGAACAGAGCUUGAGCAUGGUCCCGCUGAUAGGGCGCCAGCUUGGUAGGUAGCUUACGCUGCAUGCCGCUGACUCCCCUAGGGACCUGUGCUGUAAAGCCGGCAGGAAUCGGAGCGCAAGCUCCGAACUCUAACUUUCGACCUGAGCUCAGGCAAGACUACCCGCUGAACUUAAGCAUAUCA
Molecule: ribosomal RNA, 631 nt
Filed under: uncultured Chlorophyta
Lineage: Eukaryota; Viridiplantae; Chlorophyta
Description: eukaryotic LSU rRNA
Rfam family: 5.8S ribosomal RNA (bases 208-361)
Source: RNAcentral